ACAGGUUCCUGUGACUCCUACUGACAAGAAAUGCUGGUCAUGACAUUGAGGACUUCUGGCUGGCUCUGCAUGGAGCUCACUUGGGGGCAUUUGAGGGGCACUUGCUGUAGAAACUGAGCUGUGGUUACACACGUCUGUCACUGUCAAGUUCCAGGCCCGUGGAUGCAUGGCCUGAGUGAUUUCACAACUUCCCUUGUGGCCAUGGGCCACGCCUCCUUCCUGAAAUGCCCUGAGGUCCUUCAAGUGCCCCUUCUGGGGAGGUUUCUGAUCUCUCCCAAGGCUGGCGGCUGCCCCUUCCCCGUGGUUGUCUUCCCCGCACUCAGCCCUCCCAGAGUCCAGCUGUCUGCACAUGCCUCCAGUGGGUCCUGGAAGCUCCUUAGCAAGUAUUUGUCUACUGAAUGGACAGAGGCUAAAGGCCCAUGAUCUUCAGAAAGAGACACUACCUGGACAAAUUUCAGGUACGGUAUUUCUAGAUAACGGAUGCCUGCAAUGCAUUCAUUCAUUCAACAGACCUUUACCGACCGCCUUGCUCUGCACUAGGCUAGCAUGAGAAGAUGAAAGGAGUAAAUACAAAGAAGAAUAAAGCAGAAUACGAAGUGAAGUGAGGAUACAGAAUGGUAACCAAGUAACUGGGACAUUCAGUUGCAAGCAAACAUGAAGAGCAGAGGGAACCUCGGAGGGGUGGCUCUAGGUGUGCCAGAAAAGUUGCACAGCGGAAGUGUCUUUGAGGUGCUCUUUGAAGAAUGCGAGUCCAUGAAGCAGAGGGGAGAGGGGAGCAGCUGGGGCCGGGCUGGAAGAGUCCUGGGGGCCGGGAAAAGGGGUUUGUACUUUGAGAGUCUGGAGCUUGUCAAAGUUUAAAAUAAUAACCUAAUGACACCAUCAGGUUGGACGAUGUCUUACCUGCUGAUUCCACAGUAACCCUGUGUCUGGGGAGAGGUUUACUGCUCUCCUCCUGUGUUACAAUGAGACCCAAAAUUCCAGAACCUUCUGCACUGGCAGACUCUUCUAUCCUGGGGACAUAGGGGUGCAGCCAUUACUCCCUCCCCAUGGGAACAGAGCUCGCUCUCUAGACCCCUGUUACGCUGACCCUCACUUCCAAUUCUAGAAGGAAUUAAAUGUAAAAACUACGGUUGGAGGUAAGAUUGCUCACCGCUUUCUGUGGCCAACAAAGUGGGGUCCCAUCUGCCAGCAUUUCGAAAUAAGUAUUCCAUUUUUUACAUCUGGUCAGACCCCCCCUACCCCAGGUGGUGAUACACCAGUGUGCGUGCUAGGGAUAUUUUAUAUUGGUGUUGUGGUCAUGUGUGAGUGUGAGUAUUUGUGGGUGUAUGUGUGUCUCAAGGUGGCAGCCACAGCUGACCCACCCUGAAAGAGGGCAUGUCAAAGUCAAGGUAAAAUGCUCGUCAAGCUGAUUCACAGGCAAAGAAAAGGACUGCUUUUUUUGUGAGAGUAUUUUCACAGUUUAGAACCAGAGGCUUCCAGACAUGGUUGAAAGCUAUGCUGGGCAGGAAACAUAAACCUUCCUUGCGAACCUCCUAUGAAGGGCAUGCCAACCAUAAAUAUUUAGCAUUAUUAAAUGCAAGUAUUUAUUAAAAACAUGGGGCUUUAUUUUAAAGGAUUUCCGGGCUUAUUGUACUUCGUGUCAACAAACGUUAGCAUGUAUGGCUUUACCUCCCAGAGAAAAGUUUCAGUAGCGGGCAUUUAGUGAGAUCUGUACACCUACACGUUGCAGAUGGUCUCGUUCUAUAAGAGAUGAAACUGCAUUUGGUGGAGCUGAUUAAAUAUAAAAACACCACCAUCUGCCAUUUAUUCUAAUAGAAAAUGGUUUGGGCAGAUGCUGACAUCUUUGGAGAUGAUUGAUUCAUCCCUGACAAGAGAAGUGGCUCAGAGCCAUCUAGCUGCCCACGGCUCAGACAAUCCCUGUUCACAACACAAGGGCCAAGCCGGGCGCUCUGAUUUGGAUGUAGCAGGUGAACAGACAGCACUUCAAUAACGAAAAGCCAAGAAUUUCUAAGCGCAUCGACUGUCUUCUCCCCACUCCCUGCCUCUCUUGACUUCUGGCCUAUAUUUAGCUGGAAGAAUAUUCUAGCCACACGCUGCAUUGUAUUAAGUGCCGGUUACUCCAGCACCGGGAUACCUGGAGGAGAGUCUAUUCUCAUUUUAGUGUUAAAAACUUUCAAAUGCUCUCUUCAUGUGCUACUGCUGGGUAGAGAAUUAUUUUCCCUAAGCCGACUGUAGGGUUUCAUUAAAAAAUAUAUUGUUUACAAAGCAACCAUGACACCCAUUCCAAACUGACUUGGAAACAGCUGUAUCCAUACUGUGAAACAUCUAUGGUGAUCAAAUGCCCUUUACAAGGAGAUAACAAACUGUGUCUUUCUGUAGGAAUAUUUUUGUAACAAUUCUUUUACAGCCUAAAUAUUUUCAGGAAGAAAAUUUAGACAUCAAGACAUUUAUUUGGUACUACGUUUAUAAAAUAUCUUUCUAUUUAUGUAGUGAUCGUUAGAUGUGAACUAAUUUUUUUUCUCUGAUAGAAUUAAAUUCAGAGGUGAAGCUGGGUUUUCCCAUCUUGUUCAUCACAUUUUAAAAUAUUUGAAUUCUUUGUGUUGUGUUAGGCAAAGUGAUUUAAGACUAUUUCUUGAUAUUAUUUUCAAUUAAAUGCAGCCAACCUACACCCCAGUGCAUUUGUGCUGCAAUUAACUAUAUUUGUGUGCCUAAAAUUAUGCCUGUUUGUAUAGAUAUGUUUCCAUUUUGUGCUCAUAGAAAAUUCUGUUAUUUUGAAUUAGGUGCUCGUCCACUUAGUGCCUCUCUAUUUCUCUAUUUCCUGUUGUCUAUUUCUUCUAACCGCUGUCUACUCUAAUAAUCAAAGCAGGAGAAUUAAAGUUCAUCUAUUUCUCUGCCAGCAUUUUACGUGAGACGUGCAGUAAGUGUUACUGGAAACUCCAUCUCUCAGUCAUGUUCCCAGCAUCUCUCUGUCACGUUCCCAGCAUCUCUCCUCUACCUCCUCUCUUCUCUGCCUCAUAGACCAGCCUUUGAACCACUUUUCAUAUCCUGCUGACAUCUUUCCUCCCCCUGCCCCCGACAUUGACCACUGGUCUUCUCUACGUUGUUUAUGAUCUUAUUUCUUUCUUAUUCCUCCAGGUGAUAGGCAUCCUAGGAGUCACCUUUCCAGAGCAGUGGGAAACUCUGAUGGGGUAGUUUUCUCCUUUCACUGGAGUUAUCACCACAGACUUUGGCCACCUGCCCACACCCUUCUUCUUGAACUUUCUCCUUGUCUCUCUACACGCAGAGGCAUUCUUUUCUUCCCUUUUCCUUCCUCACCUGUCUCUCCCUUUCUGGCCUUGCUUGUUCUUCCUCCCUGCCAAGAGGAACUACUCGCUGAGAGCUGGAAACACCUAGAAGAAUAAGAUGCCAUUAUGGGUAGAAUUGUCCCCCACCUUGUCCAUGUGCUGAAGUUCUAACCCCCAGUACCUCCAGAUGUGACCAUCUAGGAGAGAGGGUCUUUAAUGAGGGAAUCAAGUUAAUGUGAGCUCACUAGGGCCGCCCUGAUCCAAUUGGACUGAUGUCCUUAUAAGAGAGUCACCUGGAGGGAAGGUGACCCCACGAAGACACAGGGAGAAGACGGCCAUCUACAAGCCAAGGAGAGAGGCAGGAAGGACAGAGCCUUCCCUCUCAGCCUUCAGAAGGAACAAAUCCUGCUGACACCUUGACCUCGGACUUCCAGCCUCCAGAACUGAGAGACAAUGCAGGUCUGUCGGUCUUCCCCCAGCCUGUGGUGCUUUGUUACAACAGCCCUAGGAAACUAAUACAGAGACCAUCCCUGCCCUCAAGAGAUAAAGAUGCAGAAGGCAAUCAUGAGAUGGUGGCAGUUGCUAAUGAAGCGUGGUGGAAAGACAGAGAAAGUCAGAAUUUAGAGGAACAGUCAUGUGAACGGGUUGGGAAGGCUUCUUGGAGGAUGGGGCACAAAUGUUGCAACUUAAAUGAUGAGUAAGGAGUUUUCCAGCAGAUGUUUAGAAGCAAGUAUUCUGGGCAAAUGGGAAAACUUAUGCAAACGUAGGAGGACGCAGGGGAACUGUGGUCACAGGUGAGUUUUGUCUGGGCACUCGGGUAAUGAUGGUGGUUCAUGUGGUACUUUUUCCCUGCAUCCCUCUUCCUUCAGGACACGAACCCACUUCCUGCCUCUUCACCCUCCUUCAUUCUGACGGACGUUAUUUGGAAUCCAAACCUUGGAUUUGAAAUAUGAGAGGAACAUGCAUCCUGCUACCUCUUGCUGCAUAACUUAGUGGUUUAAAGUAAUAACAAGUUGCUGUAAAUCACAGCUCUGUGGCUUGGCUGAUUUCAGCUGGACAGUUCUCUCGGGGUCUCUCAAGUGCUGCCGUCGGAGGGUGACUGGAACUGGAAUUCAUCUGAAGUUUUGACCGGGCAGGGGUUCCAGACAGCUUCUUCACUCACGCCUGGCGCCCAGCUCGCAUGGAUGGCUGGAACAGCUGCGGUUGCCUGCAUCUUUCCAUGCCGCUUCUCCACAUGCCAGCAAGGGCGCCCUCACAGCAUGGUGGGACCAGGUGUCCAGACUUCUUGCUUAGGGCCUGGCUUUCUCCAGAACCAGCCUUUCAAGAGGCAAAGGCAGAAACUUGCCCCCAAGCCUUGAAAGUCAUACAGCAAUGCUUCUGUCACAUUUUAUCAGCUACUCCAGCUGGGCCAAGAUUCAAGGUGAGAGGGACUGCAGGGGGGCAUACCUACUGGAGGUGUGGCUAAUUAGAGAACAGUUACCACAAGCAGUUUCCAGGUCCUGUUACUGGCUUGUGUUGAGUUCCACCUUUCUUGUGGUUAGUGAGGUGAAUCUGUGAGAUCCUUGUCAGGAACUUGAACUAGCAACCAGCACCACAAAAUGGAUUUUAUUUACUUGAGAAAACUGGACCAAAGGAGUGUCAGAUUUAAUAACUAAGUCCUCUUCGCUGGAGCCAGGAUGACUGCAUGCAGAUGUCGCAGUCCGGAGCUCUGUUGGACAGUUCAGCUAGAGCCAAAAUUGGCCAGUGAUGGAGAUCAGAAACUCCUCUGGUGGUUUGAUACUUGCAGGGUGACUAGAGGAAUAAAGGGCAUCAUUUGUAAAGCCGUGAAGCCUUCCUUUAACGAAUGAGGGCCCAUUAACGUGAUCAUUCGGCCCCUUUAUAGGAAGUGCCUGGGUGCUCUCUGAUGCUAUGACCCACGGGUCAUGAUGCAGAGCCUUUCAAGGACAUCCUCUUUGAAGCCAAAGCAACUAAAAUAUAAGUCAAGUUUCAGGUGUACAGCAAAGUGAAUCAGUUAAUGACCUAUAUGAGAGAAGAAUCUAAAAAUGAGUGGAGAUCUAUAUGGAACUCAGCCUCCAGGGACUGCCUACCUGGAUUCUGCCUUGCUCCUGAGCCCAGGACUGGUCUUUGUUUUUUUUCUGAUUCCCCAUCCUUGAGUCCUCGAAGUGUUAUCUGUAGCAUCCUGGCUCUUCCGGUGCCAUCUUGCCUUGGUUGGGGCCUCCCUUGGCACUGGCUUGUGGCCUCCCAACCCGCCCUGUGUCUGCUGAGGUCCUGCUCCUGGCUGACAGGCCAACCGCGACCCCCCUUCUUGGGAUCCAUCACCCAUCGAGACGGUUACCUCCUUGCACACCUUCCAGACGCCCAGGACAGUGCACCCACCCGAUGGAUUGCCUCUCAGUUCCCACGGGGGUCCUGUCCCCUCAUCCCUGUGCCUGGCCCUGCUGGUGGGUCUCCUUCCUGCUUGGGCCUGUGUCCAUUCUCAGGAGUUGAUUUAUUGAUGGGUGACCUCAGAAUCGAUGUAUUUUUUCAGAUCCACAGAGUGAAAUUGAACCGCGUGUGAACACCUGAGAAAUGCGUGUGGCAAGUACAAUACAAUGGCCUUUGUUUUCUACUGGUCAGCGCAAAAGAUAAGGAAUCCAUCCUAGAAACAUGGAAUAGAAGUUAAAACAGCCAUAGCAGGCCUCCAUCUCUAUUUUUUUCCACUGUCUCAACUCUUUAGCCUGCCACUGUCUCCUAUCCGGCUCUGUGCCUCAGUUUCCUCAUCUGCAUCUGCACUGUGUGACUAUUGAAAGGUUAAGUGAAAUAACACACACCGUGUUUAGAAGAGUGCCUGGCACGCAGUAAGCGCACAAAGACGUGUGUUAUUACGAUCAUUAUUAUAAUGCCAUCAGCAGCCCAGACUCGGAGUGGGCUCUAUUCCUCCAAGGUGAUGGCCGGCAGAACGAUGUUUUUGUCAAACUGGUCCUUCCAUAAGCACCAUCUGUCUCUGGACCAGGAGGGUGCAGUGCUUGGGAACGUGUCUAACGGACUGCGGGAUGAUUUACAAAUUGGACAUCAAUGCUUCUCGGAAUCUGCAGGUCAUAAAAUCCGCUUCAAGCAAAGCCCACUCAGAGCUGUCAGGAUAACUUCAAUGGGAUGCUUUCCAACAAUAUAUGGGGAGAUGGGGCCCUGGCAGAAAUUACAUCUAUUUUGAUCAUUUUAUACAAAACCGCCCAAACUUUAUGACUGGAACCUCAUAUGUCAAUCUCACUGAUACAUACGCUGUCAGCUCAGUGAUCACGAUCAUGUAUUUUGACAGCAACAUCUGUCACCUGUUCCGAGGCCUCUGUUUAUUUGAUGUAACAGACUAUGUGGCAUCGUACGCUUUCUGUUCCUUCAGGUACAUUUUCCCAAAUUCCACGGGCUCCUGGAGGAAAUGCCGCUUCAGAUGGAGGAGGAAGGACCUGGGGUCUCAGCCACGCUUCUAGCUACAUGCCCAUGGCCUGUCUGGCAAAUACGGGGUUGCGUCACAAUCGUCAAAAAUAUUUGUGUAUCCCUCAGACCGAGGCCCUUCGGAAGACUAAAUACACAGGAUUUAUAAUGAGACUCGAUUAUGGUUGCAGCAAAGGUGA
Long non-coding RNA from Aethalodelphis obliquidens (Pacific white-sided dolphin), 6892 nucleotides. RefSeq lists it as uncharacterized. NCBI's taxonomy places the organism in Eukaryota, Metazoa, Chordata, Mammalia, Artiodactyla, Delphinidae. The transcript has 5 exons. The record is from RefSeq and is a predicted model, not a curated record.